GCCUUCGUAGUGUAAUGGUCAGCACACUCGACGCAUAUUCGAGAGGUCCGAGGUUCGAGUCCCGGCGACGGCA
RNAcentral lists this transfer RNA (73 nucleotides) under Stegodyphus dumicola. RNAcentral's name for it is "tRNA-Met". It matches the Rfam family "tRNA". From Rfam's summary of the family: Transfer RNA (tRNA) molecules are approximately 80 nucleotides in length. Their secondary structure includes four short double-helical elements and three loops (D, anti-codon, and T loops). Further hydrogen bonds mediate the characteristic L-shaped molecular structure. tRNAs have two regions of fundamental functional importance: the anti-codon, which is responsible for specific mRNA codon recognition, and the 3' end, to which the tRNAs corresponding amino acid is attached (by aminoacyl-tRNA synthetases). tRNAs cope with the degeneracy of the genetic code in two manners: having more than one tRNA (with a specific anti-codon) for a particular amino acid; and 'wobble' base-pairing, i.e. permitting non-standard base-pairing at the 3rd anti-codon position. The record is from RNAcentral. Lineage: Eukaryota; Metazoa; Arthropoda; Arachnida; Araneae; Eresidae.